This 212-nucleotide long non-coding RNA is filed under the name Musa acuminata (dwarf banana). RNAcentral's name for it is "long non-coding RNA (MACU_LNC009841)". The record is from RNAcentral. Lineage: Eukaryota; Viridiplantae; Streptophyta; Magnoliopsida; Zingiberales; Musaceae.
UGUAUAAAAAAUCUGCUGCAUGUUUUAUGCAAAACCUUCUCCAUUUGUUGUGUGCAAAUCGUCGUUAUGUCGCCCCCACGUUUCCCGUUCAGUAUCACCUGUUUCUCCUUACUGUAAAAUUUCAUAAUUAGUUGCAUAAAAUUUCAAGAAAUAUCACCUAAUGUCGUCAACCAUUUAAUUAUGAACAUGGCCUUAUGAUCAUUAGGAGGGAG